UCGCUACUACCGAUUGAAUGGCUUAGUGAGCUCUCUGGACUGUCGCACAUGAAGGGAAACCUUUGUGAGCGUACGGGAAGGAGAUCAAACUUGAUCAUUUAGAGGAAGUAA
RNAcentral lists this ribosomal RNA (111 nucleotides) under uncultured eukaryote. RNAcentral describes it as "partial small subunit ribosomal RNA". It matches the Rfam family "Eukaryotic small subunit ribosomal RNA", at positions 1676 to 1785 of the family's 1831-position model. The record is from RNAcentral.